Molecule: long non-coding RNA, 1544 nt
Filed under: Mytilus galloprovincialis (Mediterranean mussel)
Lineage: Eukaryota; Metazoa; Mollusca; Bivalvia; Mytilida; Mytilidae
Source: RNAcentral
UUUCAUAUUGAUUAAAAUUUAUUUACCUAAUUUAUAAUUUCAGCUUUUCCAUGCAUUGUAAGAUUUCCAGAAUAUAGAACAUGUAGUUCCUGAUAAAAAAAAAAAACACCAAAAGAUUGCUACGAUAAAACUGUUGAGUAACUAUUUGUAAUACAGAAUGCAUCAAGAUGGUGGUAUGCUACAUAUAUAAUAUUGAUACUAUGACAGAUGAGAAAAGAAACUGAAGACAUAAUGAAAUGCUGAAGUCAGCAAAGGUAUGAUUAUAACUGUUACUGAUGUUUGAAGAAGUGUGUCAUUAUAGCAUCGACAAAUAUUUCAAUCAAACAUGGUUCAGUACUUCAGACUAGUUUUAAUUUAAAAGAAUUAAAUGGCUACUAACAUCCAUUGCUAAUUACAGCUUAUUAACCUCCUGUUAAAAAAAAGAGGGGUGAAAUAUACCAUAGCAACAUUCAAACUCAUAAAUCGAAAAUAAACUGACAACGCCAUGGCUAAAAAUGAAAAAGACAAACAGACAAUUAAUAGUACACUAGAAACAACAUUAAAAACUAAAAACUGAGCCACACAAACCCCACCAAAAACUGGGGGUGAUCUCAGGGUCUCCAGAAGGGUAAGCAGAUCCUGCUCCACAUGUGGCACCCUUCGUGUUGCACAUGUUAUUACAAACUUGGUAUAUAUAGUUUAUUUCGGUAGGUCACAUUCAUGAAAAGGAAAGGGGAUUGCAGGUACGAAGUAAGAAACAUCCGAUAUCAUCUGUGAAAUGGUUUAUCCAUAAUGGUCAACCAACUGUGAUGAUUGGGUAACCUGUAUUAUAUUCAGGGGUGAAUUCAGACAUUUCUAAAGGGGGGGGGGGGGGGUUCAAACUAAAUGUCUCCAUUCAAGUGCAUUGAUCGUCUCAAAAAAAGGGGGGUUCCAACCACCGGAACCCUCCCCUUGGAUCCACCACUGAUAUUUGAGAAAUUGCCACAAUACAUUUUGUUGAUAUCAAAUUAAAGUUGAGAAGCUACGGUAAUCUAUAUAUGUUUAUCUACUUUUCAUUGUCUUCUCUCACCUUGAUUAGUAAAUAAAUAAAAAUCAUGUUGGAAGAAAAAUUUAGUCAUGUGUAUAUGUUUUAGGAACUAAUUGUGGUAUAUUCUUCAGAUUGAAACAUGCAACAGAAAGUUCAAUCAUGACCAUAAAGCAGGCAAGACAUUUCAGUAUGUACAAUCUUGUAAAAAUAUGUCAAACUAUGUCAAAGCAUAUUUUUUGUUUUGUUUUUUCAGAUAAAGAUAUAAGGAGUAGAUAUUUUCCUGAAGAUCUCAUUUAUGUCUCGAAUGUGAAGGGAACAGAAGCUAUCAUGAUGAUUCUUUAAAGAAAAGAUACAGAAACACAAGCUCCUGUAGACACUUAUGAAAAAGAAGAUGUUUUUGCAAUGAAUAUGUGUGAAUGUGAUAAAUUAUGGCAAAUCAACAUGGUCAAUUAACAACAAUAUGUUCUACAAAUUUCUUAGAUUUAUAAGUUUCAUAACAUUUAGUUGAGGCAAACUAAAGUUAGAUAACGGAAAACGA